Molecule: ribosomal RNA, 429 nt
Filed under: uncultured bacterium
Lineage: Bacteria
Description: bacterial SSU rRNA
Rfam family: Bacterial small subunit ribosomal RNA
Source: RNAcentral
AAUCAACGCUGGCGGCGUGCCUAACACAUGCAAGUCGAACGAGAAAGUGGAGCAAUCCAUGAGUAAAGUGGCGCACGGGUGAGUAACACGUGACUAACCUACCCUUGAGUGGGGGAUAACCUAGGGAAACCUGGGCUAAUACCGCAUAAUACCUACGGGUCAAAGGAGCAAUUCGCUUUGGGAGGGGGUCGCGGCCGAUUAGUUAGUUGGCAGGGUAAUGGCCUACCAAGACGAUGAUCGGUACCGGCCUGAGAGGGCGCACGGACACACUGGAACUGAAACACGGUCCAGACUCCUACGGGAGGCAGCAGUGGGGAAUUUUGCGCAAUGGGGGAAACCCUGACGCAGCAACGCCGCGUGGAGGAUGAAGUCCCUUGGGACGUAAACUCCUUUCGAUCGGGACGAUAAUGACGGUACCGGAAGAAGAAG